RNAcentral lists this ribosomal RNA (450 nucleotides) under uncultured bacterium. Its description in RNAcentral is "partial 16S ribosomal RNA". It matches the Rfam family "Bacterial small subunit ribosomal RNA", at positions 354 to 796 of the family's 1533-position model. The record is from RNAcentral.
GUGGGGAAUAUUGGACAAUGGGCGAAAGCCUGAUCCAGCCAUGCCGCGUGUGUGAAGAAGGUCUUCGGAUUGUAAAGCACUUUAAGUUGGGAGGAAGGGCAGUAAGUUAAUACCUUGCUGUUUUGACGUUACCGACAGAAUAAGCACCGGCUAACUUCGUGCCAGCAGCCGCGGUAAUACGAAGGGUGCAAGCGUUAAUCGGAAUUACUGGGCGUAAAGCGCGCGUAGGUGGUUUUGUAAGUUGGAGGUGAAAUCCCCGGGCUCAACCUGGGAACUGCCUCCAAAAAUGCAUGACUAGAGUACGGUAGAGGGUAGUGGAAUUUCCUGUGUAGCGGUGAAAUGCGUAGAUAUAGGAAGGAACACCAGUGGCGAAGGCGACUACCUGGACUGAUACUGACACUGAGGUGCGAAAGCGUGGGGAGCAAACAGGAUUAGAAACCCUAGUAGUCC